Molecule: microRNA precursor, 109 nt
Filed under: Mus musculus (house mouse)
Lineage: Eukaryota; Metazoa; Chordata; Mammalia; Rodentia; Muridae
Description: microRNA mmu-mir-712 precursor
Gene: mmu-mir-712
Source: miRBase by way of RNAcentral
UCUCCGCUUCUCCUUCACCCGGGCGGUACCCGCUCCGGCGCCGGCCCGCGGGACGCCGCGGCGUCCGUGCGCCGAUGCGAGUCACCCCCGGGUGUUGCGAGUUCGGGGA